CAUCAACAAAACUUGGGUGAGGGCCAGACUAGGGGUGGAAGGGAGGCGUAGGCAAGUCAGCUGGCGCCCAGGUGGUGCGGCGGAGGUCCAGCAGGGGCUGGGCGGUGGAGUGGGUAGUACGACAGUGGCGGCGGUCUCAGACUACGCGGAUACACAACAAGGGUGGAGGGACAGCCACAGUCCGAACGUUUACAGCCGGUUGAUGCCCUUAACUGUGUACAAUUGUUUCCAUCAACCCCCAAACUCCCCAAAACAACGGUGUAUACUUUGCUUGACUGGGAGCAAUGCAAGCAAUACGCCCUAUAUAGCUAGCAGCAGCCCACAAGCAGACUCGCACAAUUAUCGACACCUACCUCCGACACACAUCGCCGAGCGCAUAGGCAUGGCGAGCUCACCGACGUUGCAGUUCACGGUGCGCAGGAAGCCCGCAGUGCUGGUGGCGCCGGCGGGGCCGACGCCGCGGGAGCUAAAGCCGCUCUCGGACAUCGACGACCAGACCAGGACGGGCUCCGCUUCCACGUCCCAGUGA
This 529-nucleotide ribosomal RNA is filed under the name Triticum aestivum (bread wheat). RNAcentral's name for it is "partial small subunit ribosomal RNA". The record is from RNAcentral. Lineage: Eukaryota; Viridiplantae; Streptophyta; Magnoliopsida; Poales; Poaceae.